CAGGGAGACAACAAAAUGUUUAAUAUUAUUUUGUCACCUUAGGUCGAUCGGUAUCUCACGUUUUUAAUUUAUUAAGAAUUUCAUUUCCUAAGUUUUUCUAGGUCACACCCAUUAUUUUUCCUGGGCCAUUAGCUCAGGUGGUUAGAGCGCACCCCUGAUAAGGGUGAGGUCCCUGGUUCAAGUCCAGGAUGGCCCAUAUCUCUAUGUUGGGGGUAUAGCUCAGUUGGUAGAGCGCCUGCUUUGCAAGCAGGAUGUCAGCGGUUCGAGUCCGCUUACCUCCACUGAUUACCACCUCUUCCAUAACCGGUAGAAAGGAAAUGUUUUGAGUUGUGAUCAAAUUCUGAAAGAUUCUAGCUUCCUAAUGAGAUCAUUAAGAUGCUGGACUCAUUGAAUUAAUUUCAUUGUUUUCAGAGAACCUUGACAACUGCAUAGAUUAUUUUUAAAGACAAUAAGCAUCUUUAAUGAUGCAGAUUUAUUAUUUGUGCGAAUGCAUUAAUAACAAUUCUAUUAAGCUGAUGCUUCAAUUAUUGAAGUUAUU
Molecule: transfer RNA, 538 nt
Filed under: uncultured cyanobacterium
Lineage: Bacteria; Bacillati; Cyanobacteriota
Description: partial 16S-23S ribosomal RNA intergenic spacer
Rfam family: tRNA (bases 209-281)
Source: RNAcentral